Molecule: microRNA, 20 nt
Filed under: Callorhinchus milii (elephant shark)
Lineage: Eukaryota; Metazoa; Chordata; Chondrichthyes; Chimaeriformes; Callorhinchidae
Description: eshark_NOVEL_30
Source: RNAcentral
UAUGGGACCCAUAGAACGGC